RNAcentral lists this ribosomal RNA (850 nucleotides) under uncultured Pseudomonadota bacterium. RNAcentral describes it as "bacterial SSU rRNA". It matches the Rfam family "Bacterial small subunit ribosomal RNA", at positions 8 to 888 of the family's 1533-position model. Lineage: Bacteria; Pseudomonadati; Pseudomonadota. The record is from RNAcentral.
AGAGUUUGAUCCUGGCUCAGAACGAACGCUGGCGGCAUGCCUUAUACAUGCAAGUCGAACGAGAAAGUCAUUUCGGUGGCGAGUACAGUGGCGCACGGGUGAGUAACGCGUAGAUGAUCUACCCUUCAGUCUGGGACAACUCUUGGAAACGGGAGCUAAUACCGGAUAAAACCUUCGGGUUGAAAGAUUUAUCGCUGGGGGAUGAGUCUGCGUACCAUUAGCUUGUUGGUGGGGUAACGGCCUACCAAGGCGACGAUGGUUAGCGGGUCUGAGAGGACGAUCCGCCACACUGGAACUGAGACACGGUCCAGACUCCUACGGGAGGCAGCAGUAGGGAAUAUUGCGCAAUGGGGGCAACCCUGACGCAGCAAUGCCGCGUGAGUGAAGAAGGCCUUCGGGUUGUAAAGCUCUUUUAUGGGGGAAGAUGAUGACGGUACCCCAUGAAUAAGCACCGGCUAACUACGUGCCAGCAGCCGCGGUAAUACGUAGGGUGCGAGCGUUGUUCGGAAUUACUGGGCGUAAAGGGCGUGCAGGCGGAUUGGCAAGCCGGAGGUGAAAGCCCGGGGCUCAACCCCGGAGGGUCUUUCGGAACUGCCAGUCUUGAGAGGGUCAGGGGCCAGCGGAAUUCCUGGUGUAGAGGUGAAAUUCGUAGAGAUCAGGAGGAACACCGGCGGCGAAAGCGGCUGGCUGGGGCCACUCUGACGCUGAGGCGCGAAAGCGUGGGGAGCAAACAGGAUUAGAUACCCUGGUAGUCCACGCCGUAAACGAUGGGCACUAAGCGUCCGACGGGUUCGACCCUGUUGGGUGCUGCAGUUAACGCGUUAAGUGCCCCGCCUGGGGAGUACGGUCG